GAUGAACGCUGGCGGCGUGCCUAAUACAUGCAAGUCGAGCGAACAGACGAGGAGCUUGCUCCUCUGACGUUAGCGGCGGACGGGUGAGUAACACGUGGAUAACCUACCUAUAAGACUGGGAUAACUUCGGGAAACCGGAGCUAAUACCGGAUAAUAUAUUGAACCGCAUGGUUCAAUAGUGAAAGACGGUUUUGCUGUCACUUAUAGAUGGAUCCGCGCCGCAUUAGCUAGUUGGUAAGGUAACGGCUUACCAAGGCAACGAUGCGUAGCCGACCUGAGAGGGUGAUCGGCCACACUGGAACUGAGACGCGGUCCAGACUCCGACGGGAGGCAGCAGUAGGGAAUCUUCCGCAAUGGGCGAAAGCCUGACGGAGCAACGCCGCGUGGGUGAUGAAGGUCUUCGGAUCGUAAAACUCUGUUAUUAGGGAAGAACAAAUGUGUAAGUAACUAUGCACGUCUUGACGGUACCUAAUCAGAAAGCCACGGCUAACUACGU
This 496-nucleotide ribosomal RNA is filed under the name uncultured bacterium. RNAcentral's name for it is "partial 16S ribosomal RNA". It matches the Rfam family "Bacterial small subunit ribosomal RNA", at positions 28 to 506 of the family's 1533-position model. The record is from RNAcentral.